Cricetulus griseus (Chinese hamster) is the source of this 4358-nucleotide non-coding RNA. NCBI's taxonomy places the organism in Eukaryota, Metazoa, Chordata, Mammalia, Rodentia, Cricetidae. The record is from RefSeq and is a predicted model, not a curated record.
AGCCUAUCCUGACACUCACUCUUGAGACCAGGCUGGCCUCGAACUCACAUAGAUCCUCCUGCCUCUGCCUCCCGAGUGCUGGGAUUAAAGGCAUGAGCCACCAAUGCCCGACUGUCUUGAACUUUUUGAAAUGUCAUUUGAUAUAUAAUCAUUCAUUAAACAACUCAGUGACCAAAUUGAAACAACUUAAGGAAACAAAGACUACUUUGGUUUAUAAUUUCAGAGGGUUUAGUUUGUUGCUACUUGGCCCUAUGAGUGAUUGUGUAUGUGCGUGCGUGCGUGCGUGCGUGCGUGCGUGCGGGUGUAUGUGUGUGUCUGUGAUGAGGGGAGAACUAUGCAUAUGGGUGUAUGUAGCCCUUCCUGGCUUCACAGAGGAGAUUUUUCAUUGACACUACAUGCCAUGUUUAUGUCAAUUUUAAGAGGACCCUGCAGUCACAUGGUGCAUUUUGCCCAAAAGCAAAGCGGUUAAGACACAUCUCCACUCACACCAAGGUGGGGGAAUACUGCUACUUAUUACAUAUCAAAUGUUUUAGAAGAAAUCGGUAACAAAAAUAAAUUACUAUGCUAGAAAUAAGACAAGGCAUCUAGGAAUGAAGAAGGAUUUAUUCAGAAGAGUGAAAAACUCUAUAUGUAAACAUAUGUGGUCAGGAUUUUACAUAAAGCCUCAAUUUGUAACUCAUUACCACAAAGGUCCAGACAGCUCUGUGAAUUUUUAGCACAGUCACAAAAGGGAUAUAAAGAAACAAUUAUUCUUAUUAAACCUCAUUUCUUAUUAAACCUUUUUAAGGAAUGGGGUGUGGUUAAAAAUAAAUCUAUUGUGGGAAUUCAAAUAAAGUUGGAAAUAUUUGUAGAAAUUACUUGGUGAUAGUAGGGGCUGUUGCAGCUAUGGUGGAGAGCUGGUAAAUAUUAACCACUCUCUCAGAAAAAACUUGUCCUAACAAGAAGAGACUCCAUUGACAUCAUCUAGCUCAUGUGAGCUGUUAGGUGCCCUGAAGCACAGAGGAGCAGUUUCCUGGAGGGUGGCUAAAACUAGGUGUUAUGAGGACUAGGGAAUUAGAAGAUAAUGUGAUGACUAAGACUUUAGUCAGGUUUAGGCCUUAGGUGCCCUGGAAGCAUGACUAUGCCCCAAGAGAAGAAAACAUUGGAAGAAUAAAUGUAAAAUAACCUUUAUAUUAAGCUAACUAACUCAUUGGAAGCCAAGAAAUUUAGUCUAGGCUAGCCUAGAUCUUGUUAUGUAGCUGAGGGGAUGACCUUCACACCUGAUUCUCUUGCCUUUACCUCCUAAAUGUUGGAAUUAUAGGCAUUCUUACCACAACCAAUUGGAUUUUUGUUUUACUGUUUGUUUUGUGAUAAGUUCUUACUAUGAAAGUUUAGCUGGUCUGGAGCUCACUAUAUAGAUUAAGCUUGUCUUGAAUUCAUAGAGAUCCUGCUUCUGCCUCCUGAAUGCUGGAAGUAAAGGCAUGUGCCACCUUUAAUCUGGUGUUGGGAUUAGAACCCAGAACAUCAUACAUGCUAGGCAAACAUUCUACCAACUGAACCUCAUUCCCAGACAAGAAGUAAUUCUUCAGAAUUCUUCUUCAAAUCUCAGUUAUGCUAUAGCAAAACUUCAAUUCCUUCAAAGUAGCCUCUGUGAGAAAACAUAUGUAUGAUGUAAAAUAUGGACCUUAGCUGGACUUAGCAGAAUAGCUUCUACACAGUGUUGGUAGGUGUGGCAAGGUUUGGUACAGCAGCAGUGUAGUGAGAUAGACUGUUACUCCUGAGAGCCUUGGCAAAAGUUAUGCUAGUGUGGUGAAAGCUGGUUCUGUGCGUAUGACAUCACUUGGGAUUUUCCAGGAGGAAUCUGAAGGGGAGUAGCUCUGGAACACUGGAGUCCCUGCAGGAACAGUGAGUGGGAAAACAACCUCCAGCUCAGGAAUGAAUCCAGUUCUUCUCCAAAGGAUCACCUAUUAUCUAGGGAAGACAGUUCAUGGAUCAUUAAUUUGUGGACCACAGUCUAAGUCAUCUUACUCUGGAGGAUGCCAGAUUUCCUUGGAACAUCUGAAAACAAUGGAAGAAAAUUCAUGGUGGAUGCCAUGUUCUGAUGACACUCAAGUAGCCUACGUGCUGGUCCAUGCAUGAGGAAUUCAGCUGUUGUCAACAGCCUUCAUAAUGAGUGACUGUGCAGAGUCUUCCAUCCAGUUCCCAAGGAUACUUGCUUUGCCUCCUGAGGCUGCAUAGUACUGCAGCUCUACUGCUGACCUUCAGAAACAAUACAUUUCUCUUCUGUCUAUUUACUUAUGCAAUGUUAGGGCAACUGUUAUACAGUAGUAAAAUAUCUAUCCUCUGCUGAGAAUCAAACUCAGGGCCUUGCCUAAGCUAGGCAAAUAUUCAAACUCUCCUUACAGCCUUAUAGCAUGUUAAAGGCCCUAUCAUCAAAUCCAUCUAGUCUUUCUAAAAUUACAUUUUUAGAAAAGAAGUGAAGACCACACCCUCUGAACUGGAGAUAAACCAAGUACAUUGUUAGUGUAUGUUGCAUACUGAUAGAAUUCCAAAUAUUCACUAUAGUGUAUUCAGUCUCAUCCUGUGGCAAAUGCCGGUGUCCCAUGGGUAAUUGUCUUCCUUUCUUUUACUGUAGAUAUUACCAUAUCUCUGUUUAGUUUUCUCCAAGGGCAGAGAAGGCAGGCUCCCACUUCUGCUUCCAAGAAGUAAAUGCUGACUUUCCAGGCUCUAUUUUUGCAUAGGGUUAUCUGAUCAGAUAGAUUCCAGAAUCCUUUUAGGAAUUACAUUCUGUAGUAGCAACUGUAGUAAAACUUCUAUAUAUGAAGUUGAUAAAUACAGAGAUGUAUGGAAUGCUCCUGGCCUCUUUUAAGCAAGUUAACUUGCUCUCUGAUCUGUAUCCUGUUAGUCAGAUAAGAAACUUAAUCUUAGUUUUCAUUGAGUUUUUCUCUCUUCCCUUUUUAAUGUAGCUUUCAUUGGGUUCUUUUCCCCACUCCCACUUUCAGGGCCAGACAUUGCCAAAGCAUCGGGACAUAGAUUAUGUCUUUGGGAAAGCUGAGCCAGGGGUGAAGCUAAUUGGUAAUCUACAUGUCUAGUCAGGAAAGGACUGAAGAGAUGGUUCCGUAGUUAACAGUGAUCACGGCUCUUGAGGAGCUGGGAGAUGAAUUUCUAGCACUCUCAUCCGGUGACCCACAACUACUUGCAAUUCCAUCUCCAGGUGAUACAAUACCCUUUCCUGGCCUCCUUGGGCAUCCACAGGCAUGCAUGUGCUCAAACAUAUGCUCAUGCAUGUGCACACACAAAUAGAUAAUUGAAUAAGUCUUUCUUUUAAAAAUUUAGAAGAAACAGAAAAGAUGAAAACAACUUGGCUAUGAUGGUUAACUCCAAUUGUCAACUUGAUGAGACUGAGCACAGUAAGGAGAUCAUUUAAUGAACAACUCAAUGCAAAAACUACAGGGGUUUCUUUGGAGGACUUAGACUAAGAGGACAUCAUCCUAUAGGCCAAGAGCCCAGGUGGAAUAAUGUGGGAAAAAUGAGAAAAUGGGGAUCUUUCUCUCUGUCUCUCUCUCUCUCUUUCCUGGGUACCUUAUAUGAGCAGUCCUACUUUGAUGAUCUAAAACCCCAAGACUGGAACAACCUUUUCUUCUCUUAGGUUGUCUCUCUUGGUUAUUUGCUACAGCAACCAAGGGUCUACCAAGCACAGUGAAGUACCUUGAGGAACCUUAGGCACUCUACAGAAGCACUCAGAGAAGCAUAAGCUAUAAUGCAGAGAAUGAAUGGCACUUCAUGAACCACUGAGGCUGCAAGGGGAAUCAGCACAGGGGAAACCAGAGCCAGGGUGCUCAAUAACAGACACACUCACUGUUCAGAAAUGAGAAACUUAAAAGUCUCCAAUUAUUUGAUCUCUUUCCACUUAACUACUUUCUCAAUAUUAUCUAUUUUCAUGUGCAACAGUAUUUCAAAACAUGAAAAUAUUUAAAAUCCACACUCACACCCUUAUCUCAAAGCCUGGAUUUAGUCAGAAAGCCAGUGCUGCUUCUGGCUCCCUAGAGCUGGUUACCCUGUUUAAUUGGAUUGAUGGUGACAGCUGUAAUUACCUUCAAUGAGAUUGUGUGUCAUGUGAUUGUGCCUUCUGCAUCCGUGCGAGCUGGACUUGUAGGAUACAUACAGAAGCAGCCUCCAGUUAGAGAGGGGGUAUCAUAGCUUCCCAAGUCAUGUUCACUGCUGUGGAAGAUUUUAAAUGUUUAUAGGAAGCCAAGGAAUUAGUCCUUGGAAGCAGGUCAUUGUGACUCCAAGCAGCCCCAUUUAGAUCUCUGGGACAGGGAAAUGGCUGCAUUUCUAGGCUUUCAUGAUUAUUUAAAUAAACAUCUUUUUAAAAAGGA